GGUAAAGCUUAUAGGAGACGAGCAGAUGCGCGAAGAUCCUUCGGAUUCGAUUUCAAACCCAAGAUGCAUACGAGAGAAAAUGGCCGAUGAUCGGACGACCGAUCCCACAAUAGGGAGUAUCUCGUACUUUUACUUUUCAUUUAUGCUUUCCAUUUAUUUUAUUAUGUUGCAUAUAAUAAUAGAAUCAUGUUUACGUCCCGGGACUUGCAUGCAUUAGUUUUGUUUCUAAAUUUUAUACUGACUUGUUUUUUAAAUGUUUUUCUUUUGUAGGUAAAGCUUAUAGGAGACGAGAGGAUGCGCGAAGAUCCUUCAAACUCGAUUUCAAACCCACGAUAACAUACGAGGGAAAAUGAUCGGACGACCGAUCCCACAAUAGGGAGUAUCUCGUACUUUUUCUUUUAAUUUAUGCUUUCCAUUUAUUUUAUUAUGCUGCAUAUAGUAAUAGAGUCAUGUUUACGUCCCGGGACUUGCAUGCAUUAAUUUUGUUUCUAAAUUUUAUACUAACUUGUUUUUUAAGUGUUCUUCUUUUGUAGGUAAAGCUUAUAGGAGACGAGAGGAUGCGCGAAGAUCCUUCGAAGUCGAUUUCAAACCUAAGAUGCAUACGAGAGAAAAUGAUCGGACGACCGAUUCCAUAAUAGGGAGAAUCUCGUACUUUUUCUUUUAAUUUACGUUUUUCAUUUAUUUUAUUAUGUUGCAUAUAGUAAUAGAAUCAUGUUUACG
Andrographis paniculata is the source of this 720-nucleotide long non-coding RNA. RefSeq lists it as uncharacterized. NCBI's taxonomy places the organism in Eukaryota, Viridiplantae, Streptophyta, Magnoliopsida, Lamiales, Acanthaceae. The record is from RefSeq and is a predicted model, not a curated record. The transcript is spliced from 4 exons.